This 407-nucleotide ribosomal RNA is filed under the name uncultured bacterium. RNAcentral's name for it is "partial 16S ribosomal RNA". It matches the Rfam family "Bacterial small subunit ribosomal RNA", at positions 28 to 526 of the family's 1533-position model. The record is from RNAcentral.
GACGAACGCUGGCGGCGCGCUUAACACAUGCAAGUCGAGCGAAGCGGCGGACGGGGGAGUAACACGUGAGUAACCUGCCUUAGACCUUGGGAUAGCCUCGGGAAACCGGGAUUAAUACAAAAUGGUCUAAGAUGGACUAGCGUCCCAUUAGCUAGUUGGUGAGGUAACGGCCACCCAAGGCGACGAUGGGUAGCCGGCCGGAGAGGGGGAGCGGACACAUUGGAACUGAGAAACGGUCCAAACUCUACGGGAGGCAGCCGUGGGGAAUAUUGCACAAUGGAGGGAACUCUGAUGCAGCGACGCCGCGUGAACGAAGAAGGCUUUCGAGUCGUAAAGUUCUUUUAUAUGGGAAGCGGUACCAGAAGAAAAAGCCCCGGCUAACUACGUGCCAGCAGCCGCGGUAAUAC